GACGAACGCUGGCGGCGUGCCUAAUACAUGCAAGUCGAGCGGACGGAUGGGAGCUUGCUCCCAGACCGUCAGCGGCGGACGGGUGAGUAACACGUGGGCAACCUGCCUGUAAGACUGGGAUAUCUCCGGGAAACCGGGGCUAAUACCGGAUAACUCUUUCCCUCACAUGAGGGAAAGCUGAAAGAUGGCAUCUCGCUAUCACUUACAGAUGGGCCCGCGGCGCAUUAGCUAGUUGGUGAGGUAACGGCUCACCAAGGCGACGAUGCGUAGCCGACCUGAGAGGGUGAUCGGCCACACUGGGACUGAGACACGGCCCAGACUCCUACGGGAGGCAGCAGUAGGGAAUCUUCCGCAAUGGACGAAAGUCUGACGGAGCAACGCCGCGUGAGUGAUGAAGGUUUUCGGAUCGUAAAACUCUGUUGUCAGGGAAGAACAAGUACCGGAGUAACUGCCGGUACCUUGACGGUACCUGACCAGAAAGCCACGGCUAACUACGUG
This 498-nucleotide ribosomal RNA is filed under the name uncultured bacterium. RNAcentral describes it as "partial 16S ribosomal RNA". It matches the Rfam family "Bacterial small subunit ribosomal RNA", at positions 28 to 507 of the family's 1533-position model. The record is from RNAcentral.